RNAcentral lists this ribosomal RNA (441 nucleotides) under uncultured bacterium. RNAcentral describes it as "partial 16S ribosomal RNA". It matches the Rfam family "Bacterial small subunit ribosomal RNA", at positions 338 to 795 of the family's 1533-position model. The record is from RNAcentral.
CCUACGAGCAGCAGCAGUAGGGAAUUUUGCGCAAUGGGCGAAAGCCUGACGCAGCAACGCCGCGUGAUUGAUUAAGCCCUUCGGGGCGUAAAGACCUGUCAGCAGGGACGAAACUGGACGGUACCCACAGAGGAAGCACCGGCUAACUCCGUGCCAGCAGCCGCGGUAAUACGGAGGGUGCAAGCGUUGUCCGGAAUCAUUGUGCGUAAAGAGUUCGUAGGUGGCAUAGUAAGUCUGGUGUUAAAGGCAGAAGCCCAACUCCUGGUCGGCACUUGAAACUGGUAAGCUGGAAUGCGGUAGGGGUAAAGGGAAUUCCUGGGGUAGCGGUGAAAUGCGUAGAUAUAAGGAGGAACAUCGGUGGCGGAAGCGCUUUACUGGGCCGUAAUUGACGCUGAGGAACGAAAGCCGGGGGAGCAAAUGGGAUUAGAUACCCUUGUAGUC